Molecule: ribosomal RNA, 3066 nt
Filed under: Triticum aestivum (bread wheat)
Lineage: Eukaryota; Viridiplantae; Streptophyta; Magnoliopsida; Poales; Poaceae
Description: partial small subunit ribosomal RNA
Source: RNAcentral
AUGGCAGUCGUGGUUGGCACUGUGGCCGGCAGCGUAGCCGGUAAGAUCGUGCCCAAGCUCUUGGAUUUCUUACUGGAGAAGCACAAGCUGCGGGGGGAGCUGGAGAAUGAAAUCAAGUACAUCAAGAGCGAGUCCGCGAUGAUCUGCGCCGCCAUCCGAGAGGACGGCGCUCACCCCCCGUGGAGCGGCGACGAGGUGCACAAGGAAUGGAUCCAGAUGGUGCGCGACCUGGCGUACGCCAUCGACGACUGCAUCGACCGCUUCAUGCACCGGGUGGCGCCGGUGGCCGGCGCGUCGUUCGUCCGCCGGAAGGCCCACAAGAUGGAGACGGUGAAGGCCCGUAACGAGUUCGCCUCCGCCAUCCGCCGUCUCAGGAAGACGUCGGAGGACGCGUCCGUGCUCCGAACAAAGUACACCACCGGCGUGUACGGACGCGGCGGUGGCGGUGGUGGUGCCUGGGAGUCAGGGCCAGCGGCACCUGAGACAGAGACAGACACCACCGUCUCAGCUGCUGGCCUGCCGGUGCCCGCCGUGGGAAUGGACAUGUCCCUGGAUGAGCUCAUGGAGCUGAUAGGGGAAACCUCGGCGCAAGGCCAACAACCCAAGGAGCUCAAGGUGAUCUCCAUUGUAGGAUUCGGUGGCAUAGGGAAGACUCUGCUUGCCAGGUAUGCAUACAGCAACCCCGCCGUCGUUGGCCAAUACCCAGCAAGGGCUUGGGUUCGUGCUGCCAAGAAAGGCGAAAUGGAUGUUCUCAAUGACAUACUCCGGCAACUUGGAAUGGAUCCCACCACCGUUUGUAGUGGUGAUGGAAGUCAAGGCAGCGCCAAACUCUGCGCAACCAUAAACGCUUACCUUCAAACCAAGAGGUUCUUCAUUGUAAUCGAUGACAUGCAGACAGAGUUUUGGGGAGAAAUAAAAGAUGCUUUCCCUGUGGUCCCUAGGGAAGACAACAGAGUUAUCGUUACGACGGUCAACCGGACCAUAGCAAAUAAGUGCAGCUCUCCUGCUGGUCAUGUCUACUUAAUGAGAACUCUUGCUGACAAACCCUCAAGAGAGUUGUUCUUCGAGAAAGCUUGUUUGGUGUGUCCAACACCAACCGGUGAUACUGAGCUGGGUUCGGAAGUACUAAAGAAAUGUGAUGGCCUACCCCUUGCUCUUGUUUCCGCAGCCCAGUUGUUGCACGGUGACCCCACACGGGAACAGUGGGCACAUCUGGGUGAAAACCUUGGCAGAGAUCUGGCGACAAAUGGCAACUUAGCAAGUAUGAAUCAUGCGCUUGUCCGUAGCUACACCAGCUUAAGUAAGCAAGAUGUCAAGAUCUGCUUACUAUAUCUGGGAAUUUACCCAAGUGGCCGUCCAAUCAGGAGGGGAAGCCUUCUAAGGAGAUGGUUAGCUGAAAAGUUAAUCACAGAAGACCCUACAUGCAGUGCCCUCAAGGUCGCUGUUGAUAAUUUCAAUGAGCUGGUCAAUAAAAGUAUCAUCCAGCCUAUUACUUGUGCCAACAGCAGCAACAGCGCAGAGGCAAAGACAUGCCAAACUCAUGGUAUGAUGCUCGAGUUCAUCCGGCACAACACUGAGAAUUUUGUCACCUUGUUAUACGAUAAUGCUCCGCUGCCCGGUAAUGUCCGCUGGCUUUCUCUGCAUAAUGAAGUUGCUGUACGGUCCAACAUAAAUCCCAAUGGUUUGCCUCUUCUCCGAUCUCUAACAAUCUUCGGUGAGGUGCGCAACUGUAUGUUGGAUUUUUCCAAGUAUGAGCUGAUGCGAGUUUUGGAUCUAGAUGAAUGUGGUAACCAGUUGGAGGACAAGCACCUCAAGGUGAUAUGCAGCAACCUGUUGCUACUUAGGUACCUGAGCCUCAGGGGAGCUGCUGCAGUUACAGUUAUUCCGAAAGAGAUCAAGAAGCUUAAGCUUUUGGAGACACUGGAUGUAAGAGGAACCAAUAUAAAGGUUCUACCAACACAAGUCAUGAAGUUGCCAUGCCUGAUUCAUCUGUUUGGAAAGUUCAUUGUAGAAGACCGGAAAAUGGGUAAGCUACAGACUUGGUUGGAAAAGAAGAGUAAAUUGCAAACAGUAGCUGGAUUUGUUGUAGACGAAAAGAGCCAAGGAUUUGCACAGCUUACAGAGCAUAUGCAUCAGUUGACGAAGGUGAAACUAUGGUGCACGCGGUCAACUAAUAAAAGUACCGAUCCCAUCGCCACCACUAGCAGCAACUUGAGUCACCUCUCAAAGGCCAUUAAGGGGUUCAUCAUGAGAAGCACCCAGGUGAAAGAAGCUCACUCACUCUCACUGAAUUUCAAUGAUGAAUGGUUCCAAGGCUUGCUCGUGGACUUGUCCCUAGAAAAAGAAGCUCCCCCUUGCUACCUGAGCUCGCUCAAGCUACAAGGGGACAACAUAUGUAGCUUGCCUCCGUUUGUUACCAUGCUGCGUGGUCUCACUAAGUUGUGCCUUUCAUCCCCAAAUCAACAGCUUCAGCUGGGUGAGGAGAUUCUUGCUGCCCUGAGCAAAGUGUGUGGCCUGGAAUACCUGAAGAUCAUUGCAACUCAACUAGCUGAUCUCAUCAUCGGACCAGUAACACUUGGAAGCUUGCGGCGCCUAUGCAUCGUUGUGGAAGCCAUGACAGAGCUGGAAAUCCAGCAGGGAGCUUUGCCGCGUCUAGAAUCGCUUCAGUUGCUAUGUAAGAAUCUUGAUGGCUUUUGCCACGCGGCGGAGAUCCAGUCCCUGCCACGUCUCAGUGAGGUUGCUCUCCAUAAUGGUGUGAACAGUGGAACAAAACAAAAGUGGAAAGAGGCAGCAAAAAGCCACCCCAGGCGUCCCAAGCUCUUGUUUGUUAAGUCGACCGAAGAGGUUGAUGUGGAAAGUGAACCUGCGACGCCAACUACUGGUGCGACGUUGCCAUUGAAAGGACCACACGGUGCCAUUUCUACCAGGCAGUCUGGUAAUCAAGGGUUGUGCAUUAUAUUAUGCUUAAUCGCCACAUUGGUUAUUGUCAUUGGCUGGUUUUCAGAAACGCGGCCUGCAAAAGAAACAGCACCUGGGCUCUCAGUAGCUGUCACUAAUGGAAAAUAA